RNAcentral lists this transfer RNA (67 nucleotides) under Marmota monax (woodchuck). RNAcentral's name for it is "tRNA.Val". The record is from RNAcentral. Lineage: Eukaryota; Metazoa; Chordata; Mammalia; Rodentia; Sciuridae.
GGUUGUACCUCAGUGAUAUAGCGCUUGCCUCACAUGCAUGAGGCCCUGAGUUCUAUCCUCAGCACCA